This 513-nucleotide ribosomal RNA is filed under the name Triticum aestivum (bread wheat). RNAcentral's name for it is "partial small subunit ribosomal RNA". Lineage: Eukaryota; Viridiplantae; Streptophyta; Magnoliopsida; Poales; Poaceae. The record is from RNAcentral.
AUGACAUCUCCGACUGAUAAAGCAGCAGCAGCUAGCAAGGUCGCAUCUGAUGCUGUUGCGGCGACAUCAGCUAGUGUUUCUAAUGACCCUGUAGAUCAGCUUAUUGCAGCGGCAACUAUUACUGUUGUUGUUGAAGAUAUCGCUAGCGCGGCUGAGGCUGUUGAAUGUGAAAAUGAAGUCAUUGCCAAUGUAGGGCAUGAUGAAGGUGAAGUCGUUCGUGUCAUUGAAGAAGUUGUGGGAGGUACCCUAGUCAAUAUGCCUAUUGAUAUGGCUACAGCUGGAGGUCAAGAGAAUGAUGCCCAGAAUCAUGCGGCCACAGUAGCUGACCCUGUGUUGGAGUCGAGCACCCCUGGAGCUGGAGAAUACGAUGGUAAUUUUAUGCCACCCAGCUGCUCUCUUGGGCUUGAUGCCAUCUUUGGUGCGAGUCCACAAGUGCCACCAUCUACUAAAGCAACUCCAACAGCUCAAGCUGCAUCAGCAUUGGUGAUAAAACAGGUAGUAGUCCCUCAUUGA